GCUGGAUGCUGUGGUGCACGCCUGUAAUCCCAGUGGCUCAGGAGGCUGAGGCAGGAGGAUGGCAGGUUCAAAGCCAGCCUCAGCAGAAGUGAGGUGCUAAGCAACUCAGUGAGACCCUGUCUCUA
RNAcentral lists this small RNA (125 nucleotides) under Marmota monax (woodchuck). The record is from RNAcentral. Lineage: Eukaryota; Metazoa; Chordata; Mammalia; Rodentia; Sciuridae.